UACAAAGUCCUCAAAGUCCUCUGUAUUUACAGACCGAAGCUAAUAUCAGAUCAUUUUGUCCCAUGUAAUAUCAACUAGCUGCUAGCUAGCUAGCUAGCUAGGGUUACCCCACCCCCGCGAAAUUACACAGGUUUACAAAGUCAUUUCUAUUCCCAUUACCUCUUUGACUGCUUGCAACCUUUGGGGUAAAGAACUGGGAUAUUUUUUUCUGUGACAUCGUCCUGCCUGGCUGCCUCUGUGCGCCCGGUGCUUGCCUGACGCCAUGAAUGACGUUACGUGCAACCUGGAAGCAUGUUAACCACUUGCGUGCCAAAGCCAAAGUCGCAGCUUACAAAACAAAAAAAAUGAAAAAGAAUAAAUAAAUAAUGACAAUAGUAAUAAUAAAACAUGUCCAAAAACACUGUUUUAUUGAAGCAUUCAGUAUGAGAUUUGUUUGAACUUUGAAGAUGUCAUCAAAAAAUAAAUAAUUAUAUAAAUAAAAAAUAAAUAAAUAAAAUAUUAUAUCCGGGGCUAAUUAAAAAACAUCCGUGGCUUUAGCCCCGAAUGUUUUAGCCUAGGGACGCCACUGCCUACAAGUGUAAAGAUC
Long non-coding RNA from Melanotaenia boesemani (Boeseman's rainbowfish), 586 nucleotides. RefSeq lists it as uncharacterized. Lineage: Eukaryota; Metazoa; Chordata; Actinopteri; Atheriniformes; Melanotaeniidae. The transcript has 3 exons. The record is from RefSeq and is a predicted model, not a curated record.